Long non-coding RNA from Mus musculus (house mouse), 420 nucleotides. RefSeq annotates it as predicted gene, 30602. The record is from RefSeq and is a predicted model, not a curated record. The transcript is spliced from 3 exons. Lineage: Eukaryota; Metazoa; Chordata; Mammalia; Rodentia; Muridae.
AAUUCAAAUGUAUAAUAUUACAGUUGGAACGGUCAGAAAUGCAGUACAUGUCUUAUUGGGGGUUCUCUGGGACCCUUCUUGAUUUUUCAGGGCCUCAUGGAUCACUGCAUUCUUUUCUCCUGUCAAGAGCAUGUUAGUGUGGAUCAGUUGUCACCUCCCAGAGGCUGUUUGCUUCCCUGCCAAUAAUCACUCAGGCUGCAUUGUGAAUAGACCGUGUGCAGAAGUGGGAACAGAGGAGCAGCUACGAGCUGUGGUUGGAGCUGGGAUGGACGGCAGCUGAGGAUGAAACCACGGACGUAAGGAAGGUCCUCCAUUGAAUACUCCCUCUGCCCUGAUGCUUUGCCCCAAAGCAUGGGGCCAUGAAACUGUGGACUGAAACCCUUUGAAACCAAGGGCAGAAGUAAAACCUCCUUGCCUCAA